Molecule: ribosomal RNA, 503 nt
Filed under: uncultured bacterium
Lineage: Bacteria
Description: partial 16S ribosomal RNA
Rfam family: Bacterial small subunit ribosomal RNA
Source: RNAcentral
AUUGAACGCUGGCGGCAGGCUUAACACAUGCAAGUCGAGCGGAGUGAUGGUGCUUGCACUAUCACUUAGCGGCGGACGGGUGAGUAAUGCUUAGGAAUCUGCCUAUUAGUGGGGGACAACAUCUCGAAAGGGAUGCUAAUACCGCAUACGUCCUACGGGAGAAAGCAGGGGAUCACUUGUGACCUUGCGCUAAUAGAUGAGCCUAAGUCGGAUUAGCUAGUUGGUGGGGUAAAGGCCUACCAAGGCGACGAUCUGUAGCGGGUCUGAGAGGAUGAUCCGCCACAAUGGGACUGAGACACGGCCCAGACUCCUACGGGAGGCAGCAGUGGGGAAUAUUGGACAAUGGGGGGAACCCUGAUCUAGCCAUGCCGCGUGUGUGAAGAAGGCCUUAUGGUUGUAAAGCACUUUAAGCGAGGAGGAGGCUCUUUUGGUUAAUACCCAAGAUGAGUGAACGUUACUCGCAGAAUAAGCACCGGCUAACUCUGUGCCAGCCGCCGCCGUAA